UGGCGGACGGGUGAGUAACGCGUGAGUAACCUGCCUUUCAGAGGGGGAUAACGUCUUGAAAAGGACGCUAAUACCGCAUAAUAUCUUUUUACCGCAUGGUAGAGAGAUCAAAGGAGCAAUCCGCUGAAAGAUGGACUCGCGUCCGAUUAGCCAGUUGGCGGGGUAACGGCCCACCAAAGCGACGAUCGGUAGCCGGACUGAGAGGUUGAACGGCCACAUUGGGACUGAGACACGGCCCAGACUCCUACGGGAGGCAGCAG
This 260-nucleotide ribosomal RNA is filed under the name uncultured bacterium. RNAcentral describes it as "partial 16S ribosomal RNA". It matches the Rfam family "Bacterial small subunit ribosomal RNA", at positions 96 to 354 of the family's 1533-position model. The record is from RNAcentral.